UGCCUACUGUACUGGAAUCAGU
RNAcentral lists this microRNA (22 nucleotides) under Gadus morhua (Atlantic cod). Its description in RNAcentral is "gmo-miR-24b-5p". Its record names the gene gmo-miR-24b-5p. The record is from miRBase by way of RNAcentral. Lineage: Eukaryota; Metazoa; Chordata; Actinopteri; Gadiformes; Gadidae.